UGGCGAACGGGUGAGUAAUAUAUCGGAACGUGCCCUGGAGUGGGGGAUAACGCAGCGAAAGUUGCGCUAAUACCGCAUACGAUCUAAGGAUGAAAGCAGGGGACCGCAAGGCCUUGUGCUCCUGGAGCGGCCGAUAUCUGAUUAGCUAGUUGGUGGGGUAAAGGCCUACCAAGGCAUCGAUCAGUAGCUGGUCUGAGAGGACGACCAGCCACACUGGAACUGAGACACGGUCCAGACUCCUACGGGAGGCAGCAGUGGGGAAUUUUGGACAAUGGGCGCAAGCCUGAUCCAGCAAUGCCGCGUGAGUGAAGAAGGCCUUCGGGUUGUAAAGCUCUUUUGUCAGGGAAGAAACGGCAUGCUCUAAUACAGUGUGCUAAUGACGGUACCUGAAGAAUAAGCACCGGCUAACUACGUGCCAGCAGCCGCGGUAAUACGUAGGGUGCAAGCGUUGUCCGGAAUUAUUGGGCGUAAAGAGCUCGUAGGCGGUUUGUCGCGUCUGCUGUGAAAACCCGAGGCUCAACCUCGGGCCUGCAGUGGGUAC
Molecule: ribosomal RNA, 541 nt
Filed under: uncultured Oxalobacteraceae bacterium
Lineage: Bacteria; Pseudomonadati; Pseudomonadota; Betaproteobacteria; Burkholderiales; Oxalobacteraceae
Description: bacterial SSU rRNA
Rfam family: Bacterial small subunit ribosomal RNA
Source: RNAcentral